RNAcentral lists this ribosomal RNA (313 nucleotides) under uncultured bacterium. RNAcentral describes it as "bacterial SSU rRNA". It matches the Rfam family "Bacterial small subunit ribosomal RNA", at positions 28 to 334 of the family's 1533-position model. The record is from RNAcentral.
GAUAAACGCUGGCGGCGCACAUAAGACAUGCAAGUCGAACGGACUUAACCAUUAGUUUACUAUUGGAGCGGUUAGUGGCGGACUGGUGAGUAACACGUAAGCAACCUGCCUAUCAGAGGGGAACAACAGUUAGAAAUGACUGCUAAUACCGCAUAAGACCACAGGAUCGCAUGAUCCGGUGGUAAAAACUCCGGUGGUAUGAGAUGGACCCGCGUCUGAUUAGCUAGUUGGUGGGGUAACGGCUCACCAAGGCGACGAUCAGUAGCCGACCUGAGAGGGUGACCGGCCACAUUGGGACUGAGACACGGCCCAA